CGUGCAGGAAGACUGCCCUAUGGGUUGUAAACUGCUUUUAUCCGGGAAUAAACCUUUCUACGUGUAGGAAGCUGAAUGUACCGGAAGAAUAAGGAUCGGCUAACUCCGUGCCAGCAGCCGCGGUAAUACGGAGGAUCCAAGCGUUAUCCGGAUUUAUUGGGUUUAAAGGGUGCGUAGGCGGCCUGUUAAGUCAGGGGUGAAAGACGGUAGCUCAACUAUCGCAGUGCCCUUGAUACUGAUGGGCUUGAAUGGACUAGAGGUAGGCGGAAUGAGACAAGUAGCGGUGAAAUGCAUAGAUAUGUCUCAGAACACCGAUUGCGAAGGCAGCUUACUAUGGUCUUAUUGACGCUGAGGCACGAAAGCGUGGGGAUCAAACAGGAUUAGAUACCCUGGUAGUCCACGCCCUAAACGAUGAACACUCGCUGUUG
This 428-nucleotide ribosomal RNA is filed under the name Pedobacter sp. Its description in RNAcentral is "bacterial SSU rRNA". It matches the Rfam family "Bacterial small subunit ribosomal RNA", at positions 400 to 825 of the family's 1533-position model. The record is from RNAcentral. Lineage: Bacteria; Pseudomonadati; Bacteroidota; Sphingobacteriia; Sphingobacteriales; Sphingobacteriaceae.